Molecule: long non-coding RNA, 1410 nt
Filed under: Lathyrus oleraceus (garden pea)
Lineage: Eukaryota; Viridiplantae; Streptophyta; Magnoliopsida; Fabales; Fabaceae
Description: Pisum sativum (pea) long non-coding RNA (PSAT_LNC018496)
Source: RNAcentral
ACUGAAUCCAAAAUUCUACAUUGAACAUAAGAACAUUACAACCAAAAUGAUACAUUUGUGCAAAUUCCUAAACCUAAAAGCCGUGCUCCUUUGGUUUAUCCUCAAAGCCCUAAAGCCACCUCCAAGCAUGUAGGCUCAAAUCAACAAGAUAAAGGGAUCCAUUAGAAUUUGAUCACAACCACAAUAAUUGAUUGAUUCACUAUACAUCAUAGGUUUCCAAAAGCAACAAAAUGAAAGAAAGCAAGUCAUGACGAUUACAACAUUGCGAAGGAAAACAAACUAAUUUACAUUUCAUUAAGUUUUUCUUAAGGAAAAUGUUUAUCAAAAGAUUUCAUAGUAGUGAAAAAAAUAUAAAGAAGAAUCAUGAGUUGAGUUACCACAAACUACAGUAGUAAAAAAAAAAGAGAAGAAAAAAUUCAUUCACAUUUCAAAUUUUGCACAUGGACCACUCGUGAUUUCCUUCCAUUCCACUCACCAAAAUUCCAGAGAAUCAGGGUUUUUUCACUCCCCAAUGCUCAUUGCAAAACUCAUGGCAUAACAAAUUCAACCUUAUCCCAUUGAAAAAAUUAAAACUCAUACGUAUACCAAUUCACUCUCACAUGUAUUUCAUUUUUCACUCAUCACGAUUGCUAUAAAUAAUUCCCUUUACCAUCACUCUGAACAAAAGAAAAAACCCUAAAAUCUAAGCAUCUCAAGCAAUUUUUUCACCCUCUGCUAAUCACCCACCCUAAUCCCACUCAAAGCUCUCUCCUUAAAAAGUACUUAGAGCUUCACAUUGAAGCUCUAAAUAGUGAGCUAAAAAUCCUACAUUUCUCACUCGUAUAAGACAUACAGAGAAGCAAGGGAGUAGAAGAAGAGUCAAGAAGCAAAAAUAAUGAGCAAAAAAUCACUACACACUGGAAAUCGCACCGCCACGCCGGAGGUGGGGUAGCUUCGUCAGAGUUCGCUUUUGGUAGAUUCUCUUUGUUUUUUAUUUGCUUUUUGUUCGAUUUACCUUCCCAUAUGCUAAUUUUUACCAAAGCAUAUCUAAUUUGAUGAAUAUCUCAUGGAUUGAGGUUAUGACUUCUUGGGGGUUAAGGUUUCUAGAUUUGUGUGUUUGCUUUUGAUUUUGAUGUUUUUGGAUAUGGAUUUGUGUUUAAGAUGAAGUUUUAAGGGGUUGGGGUGUAUUGUUUCUUGAUUUUUAGUCAAAUUGAGGGUUUCUGGAUUUUGACCUCGAGAACAUUCAAAUGUUCUUGAGGUUUGUUCAUAAAGUUCUUAGAAAAAGUUGAGUUUUGAUCUGUUUUUGUUAAGAAAAGUUUAGGUUUGUGUGUUAGUAAGGAGAGAGAGUGAGCGAAAGGAAAAGGGAAGAGAGAGAAAAAUAGAUAGAAAAUGAGAGAGGUCCAAACAGAUUCUCACCUUUGUCCUCUCCCU